UGACUUUUCUGCAUUUUCACUUGGGUUUUGGCUUAGUAAAUUUAAUGUAAUACAAGAUUUCAUUUCAAGGAUGUUUUUGAAAAGUAUAGGAUGUUUGAUUCUGACGCAAAAAAGGCUAUAAGAAUCAGUUUUAUUUGUGAUUAGAGGAGAGUGGUGCUCUGGAUGGUACCUGGAGAAAUAAUAGGACAUUGGCAGAAAUAAGUGAGUUAAUGAUUUCCUAAAUUGUUAAAAGCUAGAAAUUCAAAGAAAGGAUGUGUGUGUUUAACCAUCCAUCCUAAAACCAGUUUAUUUUCCUAGAUGCUUACACUUAAAUUUUGGUGAAACUCUGAAUUCUAAAAUUAAAAGUAAGAUUGCUUGGCAAUGUUGAAAAUGGAUACAAAACAAGAAUGUCAGGAUUCAGCGCAGAAUGACUGAUGUUUUAAAAUAAGACACUUACAACCUUUGGAGGCUCAAAAUCUAUUGGCAUUCAGAUUAGGGAGGACAGGUGAUUUAAAACAGUUGUUCCCUGCCAGUAUUAACCCCUGUCUUGGUUAUUUUGCCAUUAAGUCAGAGCUGGUCUUUUAUGCUGAUGACAAGUGAAAUGCCAAGGGUAGAGCAAACCAUAAGCUUUGAGCUAGGUUUGACAUCUUUUCCCAUUGGAGUAAUUACCAUGUUUGGAUUUUGGGGGAAGCAGUUAAUAAAUGAAUAUCUGCUUGCAGUAGCCAUCAUCGUAUUCUUGCUCUUAAACUUUGAUUGUUAAUAAAAGGUGAUGCAGUUUGCCAUCUAGUCUCAGCUGUUUGGUGAGUAAAGGAAAUUUAUUCCUUCUCUUCCUUUGUCUCCGUACUCAUUAUUUGGACAGUGGCGGCACCACUUGAAAAAUAAAAUCAGCCCUGAUAAAGUGCAAAGUGCUGUUGACAGUUUGACCAUCUAAUUUGACUAGUUCAUCAACAACUUAAAAUCCAGCCGCUGAGUCCCUUUUUUACCGCCAUGAAGGCAGUAAAGUAUUUCUGUUUUUGAGAAAUGAAGUCAGUGGAGGAGUUAGAAAGUAAAGUUAGAAUGCUAAAGUGUACACUGCUCCCCUGAAAUAAGAGCUGUGUGAUAAAAUCACAUGACUCUCCAAGAAAAAUAACUUGAAACCUUAGAAGACCAUGAACUUCUAACUCCUUUUGCUUCACACCAGAGCAUUUCUGAAGUUAUCAUCCUUAUGAUACGAUUUUAUCAUAAGCACAAUGAUUUGGAGGUAACUUUACAGCUUCUUUCCUGACUUUUUCUUAACUACUGAGGGAAGCCUCAGAGAACACAGGAUUGAAGCAUUUU
Long non-coding RNA from Pipistrellus kuhlii (Kuhl's pipistrelle), 1296 nucleotides. RefSeq lists it as uncharacterized. Lineage: Eukaryota; Metazoa; Chordata; Mammalia; Chiroptera; Vespertilionidae. The record is from RefSeq and is a predicted model, not a curated record. The transcript is spliced from 2 exons.